This is a small nucleolar RNA of Arabidopsis thaliana (thale cress), 77 nucleotides long. NCBI's taxonomy places the organism in Eukaryota, Viridiplantae, Streptophyta, Magnoliopsida, Brassicales, Brassicaceae. The record is from RefSeq.
AGGAAAUCUAAUUUUCACGAGCACAAUGCUUUCGUUUGCUCUUUCUAUGGGCUUAUGAACUCAGUAGCUCCUACAUU